UGGGGAAUUUUGGACAAUGGGCGCAAGCCUGAUCCAGCCAUGCCGCGUGCAGGAUGAAGGCCUUCGGGUUGUAAACUGCUUUUGUACGGAACGAAACGGCUCUUUCUAAUAAAGAGGGCUAAUGACGGUACCGUAAGAAUAAGCACCGGCUAACUACGUGCCAGCAGCCGCGGUAAUACGUAGGGUGCAAGCGUUAAUCGGAAUUACUGGGCGUAAAGCGUGCGCAGGCGGUGAUGUAAGACAGUUGUGAAAUACCCCGGGCUCAACCUGGGAACUGCAUCUGUGACUGCAUCGCUGGAGUACGGCAGAGGGGGAUGGAAUUCCGCGUGUAGCAGUGAAAUGCGUAGAUAUGCGGAGGAACACCGAUGGCGAAGGCAAUCCCCUGGGCCUGUACUGACGCUCAUGCACGAAAGCGUGGGGAGCAAACAGGAUUAGAUACCCUGGUAGUCCACGCCCUAAACGAUGUCAACUGGUUGUUGGGUCUUCACUGACUCAGUAACGAAGCUAACGCGUGAAGUGACCGCCUGGGGAGUACGGCCGCAAGGUG
RNAcentral lists this ribosomal RNA (547 nucleotides) under soil bacterium LL-P1-2. RNAcentral describes it as "bacterial SSU rRNA". It matches the Rfam family "Bacterial small subunit ribosomal RNA", at positions 355 to 895 of the family's 1533-position model. RNAcentral also lists the same sequence under 1 other name. The record is from RNAcentral.